This 554-nucleotide ribosomal RNA is filed under the name uncultured bacterium. RNAcentral describes it as "partial 16S ribosomal RNA". It matches the Rfam family "Bacterial small subunit ribosomal RNA", at positions 355 to 900 of the family's 1533-position model. The record is from RNAcentral.
UAGGGAAUCUUCCACAAUGGACGCAAGUCUGAUGGAGCAACGCCGCGUGAGUGAAGAAGGUUUUCGGAUCGUAAAGCUCUGUUGUUGGUGAAGAAGGGUAGAGGCAGUAACUGGUCUUUAUUUGACGGUAAUCAGCCAGAAAGUCACGGCUAACUACGUGCCAGCAGCCGCGGUAAUACGUAGGUGGCAAGCGUUGUCCGGAUUUAUUGGGCGUAAAGCGAGCGCAGGCGGAAUGAUAAGUCUGAUGUGAAAGCCCACGGCUCAACCGUGGAACUGCAUCGGAAACUGUCAUUCUUGAGUGCAGAAGAGGAGAGUGGAACUCCAUGUGUAGCGGUGGAAUGCGUAGAUAUAUGGAAGAACACCAGUGGCGAAGGCGGCUCUCUGGUCUGCAACUGACGCUGAGGCUCGAAAGCAUGGGUAGCGAACAGGAUUAGAUACCCUGGUAGUCCAUGCCGUAAACGAUGAGCGCUAGGUGUUGGGGACUUUCCGGUUCUCAGUGCCGCAGCAAACGCAUUAAGCGCUCCGCCUGGGGAGUACGACCGCAAGGUUGAAAC